AUGGCUUCCUCUUCGUCCUCAAGGCUGCUCGCGGCGGCGGUGCUGGCGGCGCUGCUCGCCGGCGCGAUGUGCGGCGUGAAGGUGGCCUUCACGGUGGAGAAGGGGUCCGGCGCCAAGAAGCUGGUGCUGAAGAUCGACUACGCCAGACCAGGCGACAGCCUCGCCGAGGUGGAGCUCCGGCAGCACGGCUCGGAGGAGUGGCAGCCCUUGACCAAGAAGGGUGGCUUCUGGGAGGUCUCGUCCACCAAAGACCUCGUCGGCCCCUUCAACUUCCGCUUCAUGUCCGAGAACGGCAUGAGGAACGUCUUCGACGAGGUCUUCUCCACCGAUUUCAAGAUCGGCGAAACCUACGCCCCGGAAAAGUGA
Molecule: ribosomal RNA, 366 nt
Filed under: Triticum aestivum (bread wheat)
Lineage: Eukaryota; Viridiplantae; Streptophyta; Magnoliopsida; Poales; Poaceae
Description: partial small subunit ribosomal RNA
Source: RNAcentral